RNAcentral lists this ribosomal RNA (550 nucleotides) under uncultured bacterium. RNAcentral's name for it is "bacterial SSU rRNA". It matches the Rfam family "Bacterial small subunit ribosomal RNA", at positions 355 to 896 of the family's 1533-position model. The record is from RNAcentral.
UGGGGAAUUUUGGACAAUGGGCGCAAGCCUGAUCCAGCCAUGCCGCGUGUCUGAAGAAGGCCUUCGGGUUGUAAAGGACUUUUGUCAGGGAAGAAAAGGCUGUUGCUAAUAUCGACAGCUGAUGACGGUACCUGAAGAAUAAGCACCGGCUAACUACGUGCCAGCAGCCGCGGUAAUACGUAGGGUGCGAGCGUUAAUCGGAAUUACUGGGCGUAAAGCGAGCGCAGACGGUUACUUAAGCAGGAUGUGAAAUCCCCGGGCUCAACCUGGGAACUGCGUUCUGAACUGGGUGACUAGAGUGUGUCAGAGGGAGGUAGAAUUCCACGUGUAGCAGUGAAAUGCGUAGAGGUGUGGAGGAAUACCGAUGGCGAAGGCAGCCUCCUGGGAUAACACUGACGUUCAUGCUCGAAAGCGUGGGUAGCAAACAGGAUUAGAUACCCUGGUAGUCCACGCCCUAAACGAUGUCAAUUAGCUGUUGGGCAACUUGAUUGCUUAGUAGCGUAGCUAACGCGUGAAAUUGACCGCCUGGGGGAGUACGGUCGCAAGAUUA